This 266-nucleotide unclassified non-coding RNA is filed under the name uncultured fungus. RNAcentral describes it as "partial contains 5.8S ribosomal RNA, internal transcribed spacer 2, and large subunit ribosomal RNA". The stretch from base 1 to 52 matches the Rfam family "5.8S ribosomal RNA", at positions 103 to 154 of the family's 154-position model. The record is from RNAcentral. Lineage: Eukaryota; Fungi.
AACGCACCUUGCGCCUCUUGGUAUUCCGAGAGGCAUGCCUGUUUGAGUGUCAUGAAAACCUCAAUCCUUCACGGUUUUGUUACCGGGCUGGACUUGGACUUGGGUGUCUGCCGACUUCACCGGCUCACCUUAAAGGCGUUAGUGGGAUAGGCCUCUGGCUCGACGUAAUAAGUUUCGUUGGACCCCUGGCUCUACGCCCGCUCACAACCACCCCUUACUCUUUAUCUUCUGACCUCAAAUCAGGUAGGGCUACCCGCUGAACUUAA